CCAGAACACAGCUUACGGCUACUAUGCCAACAUCGGCAAACAGACCAGCAUCGACCGUGAUAAAGUACAAGACUCUUGGCAAACUCUCACAGAACAUGUUCAUUUAAUGACAGUGACGAUGAGCUCCAUACUCAAACGGGCGAGCUGGGCGACAUUGUGCAGUAUUUGAAGCACCAGGCUGACAGAGGAGAUAUAGAAUCUCAGAAAUCUCUGGCCAGGAUGCUUCUAUGGGGCAGUAACGGGG
Long non-coding RNA from Sinocyclocheilus anshuiensis, 244 nucleotides. RefSeq lists it as uncharacterized. The transcript has 3 exons. The record is from RefSeq and is a predicted model, not a curated record. NCBI's taxonomy places the organism in Eukaryota, Metazoa, Chordata, Actinopteri, Cypriniformes, Cyprinidae.